UACGGGGGGGGCAAGCGUUGUUCGGAAUUACUGGGCGUAAAGGGCUUGUAGGUGGCCAACUAAGUCAGACGUGAAAUCCCUCGGCUUAACCGGGGAACUGCGUCUGAUACUGGAUGGCUUGAGUGUGGGAGAGGGAUGCGGAAUUCCAGGUGUAGCGGUGAAAUGCGUAGAUAUUCGCAAGAACACCAGUGGCGAAGGCGGCUCACUGGCCCAUUACUGACGCUGAGGCACGAAAGCGUGGGGAGCAAACAGGG
Molecule: ribosomal RNA, 254 nt
Filed under: uncultured bacterium
Lineage: Bacteria
Description: partial 16S ribosomal RNA
Rfam family: Bacterial small subunit ribosomal RNA
Source: RNAcentral